AUUGAACGCUGGCGGCAUGCCUUACACAUGCAAGUCGAACGGUAACGGGCCUUCGGGUGCCGACGAGUGGCGAACGGGUGCGUAAUACAUCGGAACGUGCCCGAUCGUGGGGGAUAACGAGGCGAAAGCUUUGCUAAUACCGCAUACGAUCUACGGAUGAAAGCAGGGGACCGCAAGGCCUUGCGCGGACGGAGCGGCCGAUGGCAGAUUAGGUAGUUGGUGGGAUAAAAGCUUACCAAGCCGACGAUCUGUGGCUGGUCUGAGAGGAUGAUCAGCCACACUGGGACUGAGACACGGCCCAGACUCCUACGGGAGGCAGCAGUGGGGAAUUUUGGACAAUGGGCGCAAGCCUGAUCCAGCCAUGCCGCGUGCAGGAUGAAGGCCUUCGGGUUGUAAACUGCUUUUGUACGGAACGAAAAGCCUUCUUUUAAUACAGGAGGGUCAUGACGGUACCGUAAGAAUAAGCACCGGCUAACUACGUG
Molecule: ribosomal RNA, 482 nt
Filed under: uncultured bacterium
Lineage: Bacteria
Description: partial 16S ribosomal RNA
Rfam family: Bacterial small subunit ribosomal RNA
Source: RNAcentral